Molecule: long non-coding RNA, 412 nt
Organism: Venturia canescens
Lineage: Eukaryota; Metazoa; Arthropoda; Insecta; Hymenoptera; Ichneumonidae
Exons: 2
Source: RefSeq, a predicted model, not a curated record
GCUUCCCAUAGUCUCCAAACUUCAAAGUGCUCGUGUCGAGGUACUUGCGUGCCGAAGCUGAUGCGACCCCGAGGCUCGCAAAUAUUUUAUUCAGCAACGAAAAUUUUUGGAACAAAAAUCGUUGGGUUUGCCGGAGCAGCCCGAUCGCACUCUCUCCUGUUGGAUAAUUCAAAUAAUAACUUGACGAAAACUAUAAAUCGCGUUUUCGGAGUGCUCGUGCAACUAUGGAUUUCCGGUUCUGAUUUCUCCAGCAAGUGGAUCAGGCUUCAUCGCGUCUACUUCGAGUCCCAAUCGACCGGAAAUAUUGUGUAUGAAUAAAAACUGUCCUGAAUGUUUGUAUGGCUAUGCCAAGUGGAAUUCUGCGAAAUUACAUAUUCUGCGUUUUAUGAAUAAAAAAUGUGAAUGAUCGCGU